UCAAGUCAAGUACUUUCUUCUGGGCUGUUCUUCUAAAGAUUCUGGCAAAUAACAAUGGAUGCCGCCAAAAUAUCAGACCUUAAGCAAUUUGUGGAGCACUGCAAGUCCGACCCGUCAACUCUUAAUGACCCGUCUCUUUCCUUUUUCAAAUCCUACCUUAACAGUUUAGGUGCCCGAGUUCCUGCUCCUCAAACUAACUCGGAGAAAGGUGGUAUUGACAUGUCGAACACAAAGGAAAAUCGUGAUGGACAACGAUCUAGUGAUGAGAUUGAUGAAAUAAUCGAGUCUGAUGUUGAGUUGGACGAGAGUGACGUUGUGGAACCUGACAAUGAUCCACCGCAAAAGAUGGGUAACCCUGUAACUGAGGUUAGUGAAGAAAUGCAGGAUGCGGCGCGAAUGGAAAAAUUAAAAGCUAUGGAUGCAAUCUCUGAAGGUAAGCUGGGUGAAGCUAUUGAUUAUCUGACAGAAUCCAUAAUGUUGAAUCCAACCUCGGCUAUUUUAUAUGCAACUAGAGCUAGUGUCUUUAUUAAACUCAAGAAACCAAAUGCUGCCAUACAUGAUGCUAAUGCUGCUUUAGAGAUCAAUCCGGACUCUGCAAAAGGAUAUAAAAUACGAGGAAUGGCAAGGGCAAUGUUGGGCCAUUGGGAAGAAGCAGCAAAGGAUCUACAUGUAGCAUCUAAAUUGGAUUAUGAUGAGGAGAUUGGUUUAGUGCUCAAAAAGGUUGAACCUAAUGCUCACAAAUUAGAGGAGCACCGUAGAAAAUAUGAACGCAUGAGGAAAGAAAGGGAGCUAACGAAGGCUGAACGUGAAAGGCAACGACGAGCUAAAGCACAAGAGCAAGAAGCCUUGUCUGCUUUGAAUGAGGGGCAAGUGACGGGCAUCCACUCUGCUGGUGAUCUGGAUGCCAAACUGAAUGCCGCUUCAAGAACAUCUCGCCUUGCAAUUCUGUACUUCACAGCUUCGUGGUGUGGACCUUGUCGUUUCAUUUCUCCUCUUUUUACAAGCUUAGCUGCAAAAUACCCCAAAUCCGUGUUCUUAAAAGUUGACAUUGAUGAGGCAGCGGAUGUUGCUGCAAAGUGGAACAUUAGCAGUGUUCCGACCUUUCACUUCAUAAAAAAUGGAAAGGAAAUUGACAAGGUAAUGGGGGCUGAUAAAAAUGGGCUGGAACGGAAGAUUGAACAAUAUGCAGGCUAGUGCUGGGCUAAUCUAUUAUUUUAUACUCUGCUUGACUACCCUCUGGUAUGUUAUAUUCUCUUAUUUCUUUGUCCAACUUUAUGAGUUGCUUAGUUGCAUUUAAUUUAUGCGAGCUUGCAGACUGUCUAAUAUCUAUGGAUAGCCAUUUAACAUCUGCACAUUUGUCUUCGGUAUAUUAACUAAUGAAUUUUUGUUCAUUUAUCAAAUUGACUGCCUUUAAGUUUGCAAACCAACCUAAUGUAUUGAAGCUUCAGAGUUGAGGUAAUCUAUUCUUUAUUUCAGGGAUAUGAGAGCUUUUUAUAGUUUAGCCCUUUAGCUUACCUUUUCAUAAACUUUCUUGAGGCUGUCAUUUAUUUUUGUCCAAUAAAACAUUGAGUCAUUGAUUACUUUUAUUUGUUCCAAUAUUUUUGAAAUUCUAGCUCUAGUCUUAAUCAGAAUUCCCACCGGUUGCCGUUUCAUUUUGUGCCGGAAUAGAAAGUCCUACAGAUAAACUAUUCUACAUAUAUUAACAGCUAUAAAUAUAAUGUCCUUAUGAAAGUUCAACAUUAGUCUCUUAAACUUGAGAUUAAUCCCAAAUUGCAUCUUACUUUCAUGAGUAGAGGCGUAUUAGCAUCUAACUCUUGUCCAAAAUUGCUGAUAAUAGGGCUGUCUAGGUGCUCAUUAGAAAGAACUUAACAAUCUCUUGAGUUAAGGAACACGACAUUUCUCUGAAAUUUCGUUUAGUUUCUCUCUGAUCCUCUUUAAUACUAGACCUUUUAGCUACCUAAGGUUAUGAACAAACUACCCUAAGCAUACUGUGGCCUUAUUCUGUAACCGCUGCCCAGAAAUUGAGAACCUUACUCUGCUCAAGUUGGAUAAACAUGGAUUUAAUUUGUGCCGAGUGCUUAACGUCAUCCUCUAGUCUUCUUUUUGUGGAUCUCUCACUCGAUUCUUUAUUUUUUUUAAUAGUUAUUUCAGAAGUUCUAAUUGGAAUUAAGUCAGAUUACAAUUAAGUUUUAGCAGUUAUUUUAAUUAUUUAGUCCUGAACUUUCUGAAACCAACUGUUUAUGAACCUUAAAAUCUUUAUUCUAGCAGAUUGCAUUGAUGUCUGUGACAAGGCCAGUUUUACGUUUGCCUGUUAUUUUUCUGUUUCUUUUUUGAAGUGAGAUUUUUUUCCCAGCAUUUGCAUUUAGGAGAAGCUAAUCUCUUAGUUAGAAAUUUAGAAUUGGUGAAGUGAUAUUUUGAAUACUGAAAAAUAUUUGAAGUGAAGUUGAUACAUUUUAUGAAAUUUUUUUGAUGAAGGAAGAUGACAAAAAUAUAUAUGGGAUAAUGCUUGCUUAUAUAACAUUUCGUGGGCAAAAAAACCUAUAGCAAUAAAUGUUUGUUUUCUUUCAAUUUUUGUUAAUUUCUAAUGAACCCACCUUGGUGUUCUCAAUUUAACAAAUGUUAUGAGUAACAAGACUAGGCUUAGUGCAUCCAGAGUCUGUCCAUCAAAAUGUUAUACAUUUUUACAUGUUCUACAGAGAUGGUCACUAUAAGCAGAAAAAAUUUGGGAGAAAAGUUUUGAUUUGAAACAUAGGCCAACUUGAAAUAAACUUCUGACAGAAAAGGAACUGAAACCCAUGCUUCAUUUCCUCUCGUUCUUAGAGUAAAAUCUUAGAACCACAUAGAAGAGGAGCCUGUAAAGCACUCCCCAAGCUAACAAGAUAGCGACGUCAUACCAAAGGUUGUCCAUCUUGAUGUCCAUUGUGGAUAGAAAAUCUUCUCCGAUCAGUGGGCAAUGUGGUCCAAUUGUAUUGUUAUUAUGCAGUUUGCUAGGUUUGAUAUCUCCGAGAGGACCAGGCGUAAGAUCUGAAAAGUUCCCAGUAUAGCAUUUUGUUCCUUUGAACUCAUUUGAUAGCAUUGCCUCAAAUGGAUACUUGAUUGCAGAUAUGUAAUGUAGCCAUCUCCAGUAGAUCGGUAUCUGUGUCCGCUUUAAGAAAAACCCACAAGUCAGGAAGAACAGAGCAGUUGUGGCAAUUACUACUGCAUAUCCUGUGAUGUAACUGGGGACAAGUGCACUAACAAGCAUAACAUAAGCAUUGGUAGUAAUUAGGGAGGCGUAAAGGAUAAUCCAAAAAUUGAAGAGAUUGCUUUCCAGAUGCAGUAUGAUUUUGGUUAUGGCAGCAAAUGUGAGACCUUGGAUGGCGAAGAAUGGGAGAUAGACUAAAAGAGAGGAGACAACAUAGGAGGAAGCACGGUAAGCAUUAUGGGAAGUCUCUCUGAUGAAGAUGAAUCGUUCCUGGAUGAAUGUUGGGACAGCAUCAUUCGAUGAAAAGAAAACCAAGCAAACUGCAAAUAUGUAGAAAUUCAUAAGUUGAUUAACGGUUUUGAAUGUGGACUCGCUCAGGUUCUUGAAAAGUGAGGAAAGAAUUAGUGCCAUGACGGUUAAUACUAUCUCUCUCGAAAGAAAAAGUUCAGGGGUGCGAACAACGUUAAGUGCUGUUCUCCAUGAGAGGACAGCAACCUCACGGAGCCAUGGAUUAGCAAAUUUAGGGCCAUGUGCUGGCUCAUCAAGCAUUUCUUCUUCCAUGUAAAAAUCUUCAUAUGAAGCAGUAUAUGAAUCCACUGACGGGCUAUAGAUAACUGGAGUUUUUGGAUGAUAAGGGACAUGUUGAGGUGUUGGAUACUGGCUUGAAACUUGACUUCGUGCAGCAGAAAUUGGCGUUCUUGCUGGAGUUCUUGCAGGAGUCCAUGAUGGUCGGCGAGGAGCUCCUUUGACACCAUUGUAGACCCAAACUGAAAAUUCUUUAUAGAACUGCGAAGCCAACCUUGGUUGAUAGACACCACUGUGUAAAUUCAUCGGUGUGGGCAUAGUCCUACGCUCGAGGGAAUUAUCAAAGUUGUCAUCGUCUUCAUCAUCAUCAUCAUAUCCAUAUUGCCCAGAGUCAGCUCGAGAUGUUCCACUGGUUGAGAAUGCUUGGCUCCAGAGGUUGAUACCUAGUCUGGAUCCAGAGGUAUUAGUGUAGGGAGUUCGUGGUGUUUUUGGCGUUUUUGGUGUCUUGGGGAUCGGAGUCCUGGCUACUUGAUCAGGUUUGAGUCCCUCACUUUGGUAAAGAACAAGAGGAUCGAGUCCCACAUUGGAUUCAUCAUACUCUUUGAUGACAUCGAGAAGAUAUUCCAGGCUAUUUUCACCAUCUGGAAUUGGCCUUCCAAAUCCGGAGAGAUGAGAAGGAAGAGCAGCUGGGCUUCCCAUGUAUAUCAGUUUACCCCUGUGUGAAGGUUUUGAUAUCUUUAAAUCUUAGAUAUAUAUAAAAGUAGAAGGAUAUUACUAUCACCCUGAAGUAAGGUCAAAAUUACUGUUUUCCUCCCAAAGUUUUAAAAUAUACUGUUUCUCCCUCAGGUUUAGAUAUUAAAUUGAUAUCUUUCUUAGGUAAUAUUAGAUAAUAAAAUUUCAGGGAGGAAAUAGUGAAUUUUAAAAACUUUAGGGCAAAAACAGUAAUUUUGAUCUAAUUUAAGAAAUUUUCUCUAGAUAGAAACAUCAGCUUCCUAGCUUACCUUGCAAGAACUGUGAUCCGGUCUAAGAGCAUUUGAAUUCUGAAGGAAGGCUGGUGGAUAGUCAUCAACACAAUACUGCCGCUUUUCGCUAUUUCCUUCACCUUUUCCACCACACUGAAAGCACUUGUAGAAUCAAGACCUGAGGUUGGUUCAUCAAGAAACAGCAGGGACGGCUUAUGGAUUAUAUCAAUUCCUAUUGACACUCUUCGCCGUUCCCCACCCGACACUCCUCUCCUGCCUUCAUCACCAAUAUAUGUAUGCGCGGUAUUCUGCAAAACAAUUAUCUUUCCGUUUAACUAUUUACUAACUUAAACAAAUCAGAUGCGCACACACAUAUAUAGAGAGACAGUGGUGUACCGUUAAUCCUAGUUGGUCUAGGAGCUCGUAGACUCUUUGUUUCUUUUCAGUUCUAGAAAUGGAAGGAGGAAGCCUGACUUCAGCAGCAAACAUGAAGGUCUCGAAGACGGUUAACAUGGGGAAUAGCUGAUCAUCUUGCAUCACAUAAGACGAUAUCAUCUUCAUGUAGCUGAUCCUUGAAGACUUCCCUGAGCAAUCCGACCAGCUAAGGCAUCGAGAAAAGUGGAUUUUCCAGCACCACUCGGACCCAUGAUGGCCAUAAUUUCACCUCUCAAAGCCUGACCGGAUAUAUCAUUGAGAAGAUAAGCCUCUUUACUGAUCCAAACACCGUCUUUCUUCUGCUUCUUUUUGACACUAUACGAUACAUUUUUGAACUCAAGACCGUGGCCUGGAAUCAUUUUCCGAGUCUCAACUGGCACAGCAUUUUUCUUUGCAGCUGCUGUUUUGUCCAUGUCUAGUAGACUUUCAAGGCUUUUGUUGGCGUUUGUUCGACCUACCUUGGCCGCCAUUUCGAUCAAAAUGCAGCAAAAGGAUCACCGCGAUGCUUUAUUUUUCGAUGGGAUUAAGAAGCUAAGUGGAGUUCCCGUGUCGUAUUAAAAGGAGAAAGCAAUAAGGUAUGUGGGGAUAUAGACAAAUGUUUGAUGGUUAAACCCGAUGAAAGCGAAUUGGAGUGUUGUGAAGUAAGAAGAUGGCUAGUCCCUCUCUACUUCACAUUGUUUUUCUCGCAACCUUACUUUGGUAUUGCCAUUGAAAAUAGCUGCGUACACACUCACUGUAUCUGUCUCUGUCUCUAUGUCGUUUGCUAUAUGACAUUUCAUUGAACUAUUUAUACAUUGUUCUCUUAAGAUUUUUGUCAUUUGAGUUAUAUUUAUUUCGACAAAAGAAAAAUCUAAAGCCCCUAAUUGAAUUA
This is an RNA transcript of Mercurialis annua (annual mercury), 5977 nucleotides long. It is a transcript of the gene named TPR repeat-containing thioredoxin TDX, with no coding region annotated. The transcript is spliced from 12 exons. The record is from RefSeq and is a predicted model, not a curated record. Lineage: Eukaryota; Viridiplantae; Streptophyta; Magnoliopsida; Malpighiales; Euphorbiaceae.